RNAcentral lists this ribosomal RNA (691 nucleotides) under uncultured bacterium. RNAcentral's name for it is "bacterial SSU rRNA". It matches the Rfam family "Bacterial small subunit ribosomal RNA", at positions 165 to 852 of the family's 1533-position model. The record is from RNAcentral.
AAUACCGCGUAACACCUUUUGGGAGCAUUCCCGGGAGGUUAAAGGAGAGAUCCGGCAUAGGAUGGACAUGCGUCGCAUUAGGUAGACGGCGGGGUAACGGCCCACCGUGCCGACGAUGCGUAGGGGUUCUGAGAGGAAGGCCCCCCACACUGGUACUGAGACACGGACCAGACUCCUACGGGAGGCAGCAGUGAGGAAUAUUGGUCAAUGGCCGAGAGGCUGAACCAGCCAAGUCGCGUGAGGGAAGAAUGUCCUAAGGAUUGUAAACCUCUUUUGUCGGGGAGCAAAAAGGCUCUGCGGAGUCGUAUUGAGAGUACCCGAAGAAAAAACAUCGGCUAACUCCGUGCCAGCAGCCGCGGUAAUACGGAGGAUGCGAGCGUUAUCCGGAUUUAUUGGGUUUAAAGGGUGCGCAGGCGGCGUGUCAAGCAAGCGGUAAAAUAGCGGGGCUCAACCCCGUCGAGCCGUUUGAACUGGCGCGCUUGAGUUCAGGCGAGGUAGGCGGAAUUCGUGGUGUAGCGGUGAAAUGCAUAGAUAUCACGAAGAACUCCGAUUGCGAAGGCAGCUUACCAGUCUGCGACUGACGCUCAGGCACGAAAGUGUGGGUAUCGAACAGGAUUAGAUACCCUGGUAGUCCACACAGUAAACGAUGAGCGCUAGGUGUCCGGGUCGCAUGAGACUUGGGUGCCCGAGC